CCAAGUUCUCGGCCUUUUGGCUAAGAUCAAGUGUAGUAUCUGUUCUUAUCAGUUUGAUUACCUAGACUGCAGAAGGGAGCCUUGGGUUAGAAUGCGGUUAGAAAUGCAGAAGCUGGAGUUACAGGUGCUGCUGGACGUUUCGGAACCCAAAACUAGUGGAACUUGUAGGUAUGUGGCACCUACU
Molecule: small nuclear RNA, 184 nt
Organism: Neogale vison (American mink)
Lineage: Eukaryota; Metazoa; Chordata; Mammalia; Carnivora; Mustelidae
Product: U2 spliceosomal RNA
Exons: 1
Source: RefSeq, a predicted model, not a curated record